GAUGAACGCUGGUGGCGUGCCUAAUACAUGCAAGUCGAGCGAACGGACGAGAAGCUUGCUUCUCUGAUGUUAGCGGCGGACGGGUGAGUAACACGUGGAUAACCUACCUAUAAGACUGGGAUAACUUCGGGAAACCGGAGCUAAUACCGGAUAAUAUUUUGAACCGCAUGGUUCAAAAGUGGGAGACGGUCUUGCUGUCACUUAUAGAUGGAUCCGCGCUGCAUUAGCUAGUUGGUAAGGUAACGGCUUACCAAGGCAACGAUGCAUAGCCGACCUGAGAGGGUGAUCGGCCACACUGGAACUGAGACACGGUCCAGACUCCUACGGGAGGCAGCAGUAGGGAAUCUUCCGCAAUGGGCGAAAGCCUGACGGAGCAACGCCGCGUGAGUGAUGAAGGUCUUCGGAUCGUAAAACUCUGUUAUUAGGGAAGAACAUAUGUGUAAGUAACUGUGCACAUCUUGACGGUACCUAAUCAGAAAGCCACGGCUAACUACGUGCCAGCAGCCGCGGUAAUACGUAGGUGGCAAGCGUUAUCCGGAAUUAUUGGGCGUAAAGCGCGCGUAGGCGGUUUUUUAAGUCUGAUGUGAAAGCCCACGGCUCAACCGUGGAGGGUCAUUGGAAACUGGAAAACUUGAGUGCAGAAGAGGAAAGUGGAAUUCCAUGUGUAGCGGUGAAAUGCGCAGAGAUAUGGAGGAACACCAGUGGCGAAGGCGACUUUCUGGUCUGUAACUGACGCUGAUGUGCGAAAGCGUGGGGAUCAAACAGGAUUAGAUACCCUGGUAGUCCACGCCGUAAACGAUGAGUGCUAAGUGUUAGGGGGUUUCCGCCCCUUAGUGCUGCAGCUAACGCAUUAAGCACUCCGCCUGGGGAGUACGACCGCAAGGUUGAAACUCAAAGGAAUUGACGGGGACCCGCACAAGCGGUGGAGCAUGUGGUUUAAUUCGAAGCAACGCGAAGAACCUUACCAAAUCUUGACAUCCUUUGACAACUCUAGAGAUAGAGCCUUCCCCUUCGGGGGACAAAGUGACAGGUGGUGCAUGGUUGUCGUCAGCUCGUGUCGUGAGAUGUUGGGCUAAGUCCCGCAACGAGCGCAACCCUUAAGCUUAGUUGCCAUCAUUAAGUUGGGCACUCUAAGUUGACUGCCGGUGACAAACCGGAGGAAGGUGGGGAUGACGUCAAAUCAUCAUGCCCCUUAUGAUUUGGGCUACACACGUGCUACAAUGGACAAUACAAAGGGCAGCGAAACCGCGAGGUCAAGCAAAUCCCAUAAAGUUGUUCUCAGUUCGGAUUGUAGUCUGCAACUCGACUACAUGAAGCUGGAAUCGCUAGUAAUCGUAGAUCAGCAUGCUACGGUGAAUACGUUCCCGGGUCU
This 1372-nucleotide ribosomal RNA is filed under the name uncultured bacterium. RNAcentral describes it as "bacterial SSU rRNA". It matches the Rfam family "Bacterial small subunit ribosomal RNA", at positions 28 to 1381 of the family's 1533-position model. The record is from RNAcentral.